Molecule: long non-coding RNA, 354 nt
Filed under: Capsicum annuum
Lineage: Eukaryota; Viridiplantae; Streptophyta; Magnoliopsida; Solanales; Solanaceae
Description: long non-coding RNA (CANN_LNC014712)
Source: RNAcentral
CUUUUAGUCGAGUCAUCUCCCUUGAUUCCUAUAAGACAAACCUUUUAAUCGAGUCAUCCCCUUUGAUUCAUAUAAGAUGUACCUUUUAGUCGAGUCAUCCCCCUUGAUUCCUAUAAGACAUACCUUUUAGUCAAUUUAUCUCCCUUGAUUCCUAUAAGACGUACCUUUUAGUCGAGUCAUUUCCCUUGAUUACUAUAAGACCUGCCUUUUAGUCGAGUCAUUCUAUUUUACCCCUAGAAGAUGUACCUUUUAGUCGAGUCAUCUCUCUUGAUUUCUAUAAGAGUUCCGUUUAGUCGAGUCAUUUCUCUUGAUUACUAUAAGACGUACCUUUUAGUCAAGUCUUUCCCUUUGGCC